UGGAGUAGUAGUAGCUAUGUUCUUGAAACUUAAAAAAUUUGGCGGUAUUUUAGUCUAUUCAGAGGAACCUGUUCUAUAAUCGAUAAUCCACGUUGGACCUCACUUAUCUUUGUAAUCAGUUUAUAUACCGUCGUUAUCAGAAUAUUUUAUAAGAAUAAAAAUUUUCAGGAAUUUUUUUAGGAGUAUAUUUCAGAUCAAGGUGUAGCUAAUAGGUAAGAAGAAAUGGGUUACAAUAAAAUUAUUUAUAUGGAUAUAUUUAUGAAAAAAAUAUUGAAAGUGGAUUUGAAAGUAAAAUUGUAAAGAUAAACAAUUUGAUUUUAGCUCUAAAAUAUGCACACAUCGCCCGUCGCUCUUGUUUCUAAGGCAAGAUAAGUCGUAACAUAGUAGAUGUACCGGAAGGUGUAUCUAGAAUGACAAUCUAAAGCUUAAUAGAAAAGUAUUUCAUUUACAUUGAAAGGGUUUAUGUGCAAUUCAUUAUAGAUUGAUUAAAUUUUAUUUAUUAAUUUUAUUUGUUUUAUCUUUAUUUAUUAAAAAUAAUUAUAAAAAUAUAUGUUUUAGUAGUGUAUAAAGAAAAAAUAUUAUAAAUUAUAGAAGAUUGUAUCGUGAGAGAUUAUUGAAAUAUUUGAAAAA
Molecule: ribosomal RNA, 630 nt
Filed under: Psacadina vittigera
Lineage: Eukaryota; Metazoa; Arthropoda; Insecta; Diptera; Sciomyzidae
Description: partial 12S ribosomal RNA
Rfam family: tRNA (bases 415-485)
Source: RNAcentral